UCAAGGCUACACAGAGAAAACCUCUCUCGAAACAACAACUAGAGAGAGAGAGAGAGAGAGAGAGAAUAAACUUGAUCAAGAAAUCAAGAAUAUGAGCAGUGUCUGAAGUCAUCAAAACACCGUUGAAUGAAAUAAAUAAAACAAUGUCUAUUAACAGAAUGGAAUUUUAAAGAGAGAUAAAACCUCCAAAGAAAAGCCAAUGUUAAAAGAAAAAUCAGGAAAAAAACAGAAAGAAAAACCUCUCAGAGGAAUGCGCACAGGUUGAAGACAAGGUAGAGAAGCUGCAAAGCCUGACCAAAGCUGGAAAACAGAGUCCAGGGGGUCUUUUCCUGUUGCUCCUCACAUUAAACUCACUGACAAAGCAACUUAAGGGCUUUGACUCCCGGUUCAGAGUUCAGUCAGCUCGGCAGGUUCCUCACUCUCAGCAGAGCUUAAAGUGUCACCUCCCACUGCACCCAGUCAGUAAACAGAGAAAGGAGUCUGGGUGAGCUUGCUGGAGGGCAGCUUGAGCUCUCCAUUCUCCAAAGUCCAGGAUCCCCGUCAUAGGAAUAGGCACUACCCCCAGUGGGUGGAUCUCCCUCCUGUGGUUGAUGUAGCGGAUCUCCCACAGGUAUGCUCAGAGGCUCUUCUCCUAGACUAUGCUAGCAUUUAUCAACGUGUCAACUAAUACCAACCAUGACAAAGCCAUUCACAAAAAAGAGUAUCUCAUUUUUCGAAGGCAGUUCUGAGUCAUCUUUGCCUCUUAGGUUUUAUUUUAUGUAGAAUGUGCUCUAUUUGAAAAUGAACUCUUUUUAAAAAUUGUUGCAAGAUUUAUUAAUGUGGCACUCAAUUUCUGGUAGUACACAUCUAUGCUACAAAAAGAAAAUUCACAUUUCUCUUAAUUUUUACUAAAUUUCAAGUGUCCUGAUUGUAUCACUUAUUUUUUAAGAAUUUAUUAGUUUUAAAAUUGUAUGUAUACAUGGGGGAGUGAUUUGUGCACAUAAGUACAUAUACACAGAGCCUAGACAAUGUUGGAUCUCCUGGGCAUUGAAAUUGCAGGUGUCUGGACUGCUGGAUGUGGGUGCUGGGAACAAAAGGGGAGUUAGCACGUAAAGUGCAGAGACUGAAAACUGGUGCGGAGAGGACCACCGCAUGGAUGCAAUCUCCCUUCAUACCACUUCUCAUUAAAACUGCGUCUUGAAGAGAAAGGAAGCAGAAGAGUAAAUGGACUGCAUUGCUCUUCCAGUCUCUACCAACCCAACCAGAACUGAGGGGAGGAGGAAGAGAAAGAAAAGAAAAAAUGGCUGGAUGGCCCUUACGGCAUCCGGAAGCCCUAGUGCUGUCACUAGCACCUUGCUGGCUGAAGAAAGCAAAGCCAACCCCAUCAUGCUUCCCACAGCGAGCCUUGGCGAUGUGGUGAUUUCUAGUGUUCCCCGUGAUCUCCAGUUUUGUGUUGUGCUACAUUCCUGAGCAAACAAAUCUUCUUUUCAAGACUUUGGCAUAUGGAUAUUGCCUAGGAAAGAUGAUUUCUCUGUCAAGCCCCAAGGACAAUUAUGGAAAUAUCUAUGUCAUAGUACUCUCACUAUGAGUAAAAUAAAGAUAAAAUAGCCAACAUUAGAUGCAAAA
RNAcentral lists this small RNA (1605 nucleotides) under Rattus norvegicus (Norway rat). Its description in RNAcentral is "uncharacterized LOC108352959". Lineage: Eukaryota; Metazoa; Chordata; Mammalia; Rodentia; Muridae. The record is from RNAcentral.